CUCCGGGCAGCAGGCGGGGAGGGCGGCCUGGCGGGCGGGCGCGCAGCACCGGCUUUCCCCUUGUCCUCAGGAGACGCCGCCUGCAAUUCCGAAAUUAAGUCUCCACCAAACACAUCUGUGGUUUUUAAAUAUAGCAGGGGACGAUUACCCAGGCAGGGUCCACCCAGGCCUAGGGGAGGAGUUGAGGGGGAUGGAGGUUGGCAGUGGAGGGAAAAUAAAACUCCUUUUUACCCCCUCUUUUUUUCUUCUGUUCUUGGUGCAGAACUCAGUCUGUCAUUUUCUCAACCCAAAUCAAACAACAGCUUGUGAGAGACGCUUGGGUGAGCGCUGGUAUGUUGGCUUUUGGGUUUUUAAGGCUAAAAAUAAGAGGGGGCUGUCUCCCAAAUUGCUGCUUACUCUGGGCCUGGAGCCUGGAAGAGAGAUGGUCCUUUGAUGCAGCAGCAGGACUAGGGUUUGGGGCUUGGCUCAAGCGAAGUGUACACACGUAGCCUUACAUCAGAUGCCUGUAAUUUCUGCUAUAUUUGUCAGGCUUGGUCCUGGAGGCAUGAGGGGUGGGCAGGCCUCCCCAAGAAGGGGGUUUCACUCCCUAGUUUAUGGAUAGCAUUAGGCAGAUCUAAAAGGAGCAUGGUGGCUGGCCUUUCCUAGAGACACCAGUACAGCUUCUGGGACAGAAUAGAAGGUGGGAAGUUGUUCCUCUCAGGCCUCUGCUGCCUGAAGCCAAGUAUGAGGGGCCGACAAACCAGAAUGAUGUUUAGCAAGUAUCAGCACUUCCUAGGGUCAGGCGCCCUGCUAAUGAACUUGAAUGUAUUAUUUCACAUCAUUCCUCAUAAAACUCUCUGAGAUAGGUACAAUUACUAACUCCAUUUUUCUGUUGAGGAAAUUGAGGCUUAAAGAGGUUAAAUAACCAUUCCAAGGCCGCAUGCAGCAACACCGAGGACUGGAAUAAGGUGGAACCAACUGGAGUUUUGCUGAUAAACACAACAGUAUGUGCGACUUCCUGGAUCGCUAGGCCCGUUGAAGAGCUGCUCUGGAACAAGGUUUGCUCCGAAGAGAUUAAGUGGGCAUGGAAGUUAGAGAGUAUCUGAGCCUGGGAUGGCCUAAGUUCUUUCCUGGUCCCUUGACUCAAUGUGGCUUCAGCAAAUCACGUGGUGGUUUCUGUUCUAAGGUUGAAUCCUGGAUGUACUCCUAACUGAGCCCUGGGAUCUCAGAUCCCUGAACACUUAUGGGCCUUGAAUUCAGCUAAAGUUAGGGCUGAGACACUGACCCUGCAAGAUUUCAGUAACUUCUAAAGCUGUGGGAUUUCAGGAUAUGUCAACUGUGAACAUACCUAUUUGCUAAAACAACCACAACAGCAGCAGUAAAAACAGAAUUUUCUUCGAAGAACUGCCAAAAAACCAACGGGAGCCUCAACUUCAUCUUGUCACCUGCAGCAGGACAUUGCCAGAACUCAAGGGGAUUUUCACAACAAGAAAGCCAGCAACUGAGCUGUUUUUCAUCAGCAUUAGGAGCAAGAACCACAAACUGCAUUUUUAAGUUGGGAGGAAACUGAGGCUCGGAUGUGCCUGCGAAGACGUAAUUAAGUUAAAAUGGGCUCGUUAGGGUGGGCCCUCAUUGAAUGACCAGUGUCCUUAUAAGAAGAGGACACAGACAGGUAGACAGAGGGAAGACCACGCGAAGGCACAGCGAGAAGGCAGCCUUCUGCAAGCCCAGGAGAGAGGCCUCCGAAGAAGCCACAGCUGCCGACACUUGAUCUUGGACUUCUAGCCUCCAGACUGUGAGAAAAUAAUUUCUGCUGUUUAAACGACCCAGUCUGUGGGAUUUUUUUUUCUGGCAGCCCUAGCAAUCUAAGACAGAAUCCAAGUCUUCUGGCUGCUUCUAUGAGGCCUUGUUUAUAUUCCAACUUCAAGGAGUUACCUGGGGUUAUUUGGAAGCUUGAAACAUCCUAGACUUUAUAAUCUAACAAAAAGGAAGCAAGGAAACGGGCUUUUAUCGAAUGCCUGCUGUGACCCUGUGCGAUGUACUUUUACACGUGUUAUUUCACUCAGUAAAUAUUUGUGGAACACAUUCUGUGCGCCAGAUACUGUGGUGCUGGGGAUACGGCUGUGAACACUGAGGAUAAAAUCCCUGCCUUCAGGGAGCCUACAUUCUAAAGGAAGAAGCAGAUGAUGAAAAUAAACAAACAAAAUACACAGGGCAUGGCACAUCAUAAGCGCUAUGGAGAAAAUAUAACGCAGGGGAGAAGGAAAGGGGGUGGGGACUGCUGAGGAAGGAGGAGAAAUUGUCAGAUGUUUUUAAUUAAAGAAAGUCAGAGAAUUUGUCCUGGAAGCUUCAGUGAGAAAGUGACAGUUGAGCCAGAGCCCGAAGGAGGGAGGAAGAGAGCCUGAGGGAAGAAAGUCCCAGAACAGCAAGUGUCAAGGCCCUGAAGUAGAAGUGUAUCAGACCUGUUCAGGAAAAAUUAUUUUUUUAAACUGCCUCCAGAGGAGUGCAUACUGUCCCUUUAUCUAGAGAAGAAGAGAUCUCAGAUGGCUGAAGUGACUCCCAUUAAGGUCACACAGGCAGAAGCAGGUAAUGCUUUUCUUUCUCCAGAGGCUGGCAGCACGAUGCGGCGAGUGGAA
Molecule: non-coding RNA, 2615 nt
Organism: Equus caballus (horse)
Lineage: Eukaryota; Metazoa; Chordata; Mammalia; Perissodactyla; Equidae
Source: RefSeq, a predicted model, not a curated record